This is an RNA transcript of Oncorhynchus kisutch (coho salmon), 6229 nucleotides long. It is a transcript of the gene named disks large homolog 2-like, with no coding region annotated. The record is from RefSeq and is a predicted model, not a curated record. The transcript has 28 exons. Lineage: Eukaryota; Metazoa; Chordata; Actinopteri; Salmoniformes; Salmonidae.
UGGUACUGAUGCUGCUGCUUUCUACAUCGUGGUUGUAGACUUGGGAAUCAAAAACGUGGUGAUGUGACAGCUGCCAAGGAACAGGGAAAAAAAGAGGACGAGGAAGUUCCAGAUAUUUCGCAAAGAAUAUAUGAAAUGUGUAAAGUAGACGGGGUUAUUGCAAAGCCAUGCUUUUUACGGCACGAUCAGACAGGCAGGUAUUUUCCAACAGACAGUCAGGAGAGAAUCUGCUCACUGGAAUUAGGUUAUCGUUAGCCAAACGCUUUGUCAACUUCCAUUUUCACUGCCCAGGUUUUCGUUUUAAGUAGCCUAGCUGGUUAAGCUACUAUGAUGCAUGUGUUUGCGAGUAUUGGGUUAAUUUCAGUUUGUGAAUAGUUGAAUAGACUUAUUUAAAAAUAAUGUCAUGUAGGCUAAACGAAAGAGAGAUGACGGAGAAUCACACAGCUACAUAACCUUAGCUAACCGAGUUAUUGGAUGGAGCAUAUCAAUUUUAUUCGUUGUGGUAUGUCUUGGAAUAAAUGUUGGCCAGCCAAUGUUAUGUAUUUUGAUAGCUAGUUAUCCUAAGGCUAGGCUACUUAGCCGCAGACCUGGUUCGUUUAGCCAACUGGGCCAUCCCAAAUGCAUAGAAAAAAAUAUUAAGCUAUGAGGAAUUGCUGCCAGGUGUGUAGCCUAAUUAAACUUGCUGUGCUGUUAAGUUACAAAUAGGCUAUACCCCUGCUCAUGUCAUCAUAUCCCAUGACAUGCUGCAACGUUUUUUGCACGAGCCAAAAUAGACUUGCUUGGUUGCAUAUUUCACCUCGCCGGGUAACGUUACGGCGCCUUUAACAUUUCUUUGGACUGCCAUUGGAUUGUGCUUUAAAUCCCCAGCUCAUCACAUGGGAGCGCCAUUGACUCAAUGCCAGCAUCAAACUGCAAGGGAAGUGAUAGGAACGCGGAACAUCUCGCUGGGUGCUCACGAAAGUUCCUGUCAGUUGAGGGAAUUGACCUACCAUUUAUGCUAGGCUAUAGUCAAUGUCCAUGACAUGAUAUCAGAACGUGCGAGACUGCCGUUGCACCUGUCAGCAGCAGCACACAUCAAUCGGAAAUACUUUGUUGAAGAUGAACUGAACAAGCAUACACAGCCACAUUGCAAACAUAGUUUUUGUUUGUGGCCUGUUUUGCCCUAUGCUAGUCUAUUGUUUUAGACUGUAGACCACGGAUUCUGCUGGAGCAAAAGCCUAAAACCUACUGCCUCUGUGUCUAAGGCUACACGUUAUAGCACAACUGACUCGCUUUGAUGUGUUUUUUUUUUCACCAUUGCCUGACAUUUUUAAUAAUGCACUGAAGAGAACUGGGAAUACGUUAUGUUAUUGGCGCAAGAGUAAAUCACCGAUACGAAUCCAGCAUUCAACUAUGCCUGUAAGAAAAAAAGACACAGCUAGGGCCCUAGGGCUUUUGGAAGACUACUGCGCUAAACUGACCAAGCCAGAGGAACAACAGCUCAAAACUGCCAUUCAGAGAGUGAUGGGGGUCUUCAAAAGCAGCCUGUUCCAAGCACUGCUUGAUAUCCAGGAGUUCUAUGAGGUGACGCUGCUGAACACCCAAAAGAGCUGCAAGCAGAAGCUGGAGGAGGUCAACCACAUGGCCGACAAGUGGGAACAGACGGGCACGGGCUCCCUCACCGCGGUGCUACAACACGCCUGCCCAACCGAGAUGGGGGAGCGGAGCAGCUCGGAGCACGGUGGGAAGGACCAGACACCGAUCAGUGUGAAAGUCUCUGAAAACAGGCCGGCAGCCGUGCAGGGGUCCCCACACACUGGCCCGCCCCCGGCAUGCAUGAACCCCGCCUUGAUGAGCACUCCCUGGCAGUAUCGCUAUCAAGAUGAGGACUCUCCACCUGAGCACGGGUUCCCGCGGCUGACCAACGAGGUGCGCGCCCCUGAGCUGGUGCACGUGUCGGAGAAGAACCUCUCGGAGAUUGAAAAUGUGCAUGGCUACGUGUCCCACUCCCAUAUCUCCCCGCUCAAGGCGAGUCCCGCUCCAAUAAUUGUCAACACCGACACUCUGGAGAGCGUACCUUACGUCAACGGGACAGAAAUUGAAUAUGAGUUUGAAGAAAUCACACUAGAGCGGGGGAACUCAGGGUUGGGUUUCAGCAUCGCUGGAGGAACAGAUAACCCCCAUAUCGGUGAUGACCCAGGGAUCUUCAUCACCAAGAUUAUCCCUGGUGGCGCGGCAGCAGAGGAUAGCCGGUUAAGAGUGAAUGACUGCAUCCUGCGGGUGAAUGAUGCCGACGUGUCUGAGGUGUCCCACAGUAAGGCAGUGGAGGCCCUGAAGGUGGCUGGCUCUAUCGUCAGGCUGUACGUUCGCCGGAGGAGACCCAUGCUGGAAACUGUCAUUGAAAUCAAACUCAUCAAAGGACCAAAAGGGCUGGGCUUCAGCAUCGCAGGAGGGGUGGGCAAUCAGCACAUCCCGGGGGACAACAGCAUCUUUGUCACUAAGAUCAUAGAUGGAGGUGCAGCACAGAAGGACCAGCGCUUGCAGGUUGGAGACCGGCUGCUUAUGGUGAACAACUACACUCUGGAAGAGGUCUCCCACGAGGAGGCUGUAGCCAUACUGAAGAACACUUCUGACGUUGUGUACCUGAAGGUGGGCAAGCCCACCAGUGUUUACUUAUCAGAUCCCUAUGGGCCACCUGAUAUCACGCACUCAUUCUCUCCAGCAAUGGAAAAUCAUAUCUCUUCCGGGGGCAACAACGGCACUCUGGAGUACAAGUGCAGUCUUCCCCCCAUUCCCAUCUCUCCUGGAAGGUACUCCCCCCUCCAAAAACACUUACUCGGGGAAGAGGACAUUAACAGGUUGGAUGGUUUUUCCUUCUUACGAAAUGCCUCGAUAGAUGACGGGGAGGCUCACAGGUUUGAGUCGCAGCACUUCCAGUUGAGGCCUCCUGAGCCAGUUUACAGCACUGUGAACAAAGCACCUUCUCCCCACCACUAUUCCCCCGUGGAGUGUGACAAAAGCCUCCUUCACUCCAUACCCUUCCCUCACUAUCACUUAGGCCUGCUCCCUGACUUCGAGAUCACCAGGGAUCCCAGGAGGAUGGUCCUCCACAAGGGCUCCACAGGCCUGGGAUUCAACAUCGUGGGCGGGGAGGACGGAGAGGGCAUCUUUGUCUCCUUCAUCCUGGCGGGAGGGCCUGCCGACCUGAGCGGAGAGCUGCGGAGGGGAGACCAGAUCUUGUCGGUUAAUGGCAUCGACCUACGCGGGGCCACCCACGAGCAAGCGGCUGCAGCACUAAAGGGGGCGGGCCAAACUGUCACCAUCAUUGCUCAGUACAGGCCCGAGGAGUACGGGCGUUUCGAGGCCAAAAUCCAUGAUCUGCGGGAACAGAUGAUGAACCAUAGCAUGAGCUCUGGGUCCGGAUCCCUCCGAACCAAUCAGAAACGCUCCCUUUACGUCAGGGCACUGUUUGACUAUGAAAAGGCCAAAGACAGUGGACUCCCUAGCCAGGGCCUCAGCUUCAGGUAUGGGGACAUCCUCCACGUCAUCAACGCCUCAGACGAUGAAUGGUGGCAGGCCCGGAGGGUGACCCCUGAUGGGGACAGCGAAGAGAUGGGGGUCAUCCCCAGCAAGAGGAGGGUUGAGAGGAAAGAACGAGCUCGACUAAAGACAGUGAAGUUCAAUGCCAAACCGGGAACCAUCGAUUCCAAAGGGUCAUUCAAUGACAAGCGUAAAAACAACUUCAUCUUUACACGAAAGUUCCCAUUCUACAAGAACAAGGAGUUGGGUGAGCAGGAUGGCAGUGAUUCAGAACGACAUCCCAGGAAUAGGUGACGACGGGUAUGGGACGAAGACGCUGAGGAGUCAAGAGGACAUGAUUCUCUCCUAUGAGCCUGUCAUUCGACAAGAGAUUAAUUACGCCAGACCCGUCAUAAUCCUUGGACCAAUGAAAGACAGAAUCAACGACGACCUGAUAUCCGAAUUCCCUGACAAAUUUGGCUCCUGCGUGCCACCGGAUAACUGUUCAGGGCAGCCAGAUACCACUCGGUCGAGGAGGGACUACGAGGUCGAUGGGCGGGACUACCAUUUUGUAAUGUCCAGAGAGCAGAUGGAGCAGGACAUCCAAGAGCACAAGUUCAUUGAGGCGGGCCAGUACAACGACAAUCUAUAUGGAACCAGUGUUCAGUCGGUCAAAUAUGUGGCUGAGAGGGUGAGUGUCACUGUCAUUGAGAUAUACUGUAUUUAGGCAGUGUGUUUUCAACAGGCAGAAAAAUAACGGUGGCAGGCGGCGGUGCGCUAAUCCAAUGUUUUAUGGCUUUUCCUAAUGCCUCGAUCACACCGACAAUGUUAUUGCAUUUUGGUACAACAGAAGUACAUUCAUUUCCAAUGGAAAUGUUCUGUGUGGUGCACACAUUGGAUUUAUUGAACGUGUGCGUCAAACUGUAUGCGUAGACAGCUUGACAGAAAUGGUAGCAGAAGGUGAUUGUUGAACUUCUGCGCAAAAGUGCUACCGGUGUGAUCAAGGCAUAACCAUUUCCUUAAUUAACUUCACUGAAACAUUUUGUUGUUGUUGUACUUUACGAUCUUGUCUCAUCGCUGGAACUCCCCAACGGGCUCAGGAGAGGCGAAGGUGGAGUCACGCGUCCUUCGAAACAUGACUCACCUAACUGCACUCCUUUACACCCGCCAGCUUAACCCAGAAGCCAGCCGCACCAAUGUGUCGGAGGAAACACUGUUCAACUGGCGACCGGGGUCAGCGAUGCAGUGCCUUAAACCGCUGAGUCACUCAGGAGGCCCACUGAAACUGUAUCUAACCUAAUUCCUAAUUCCUUAACCUAACCUUAACCCUACUACUACCUUAAUACAUAUCGACCCCUAUGCAUUAACUAACAAAAAUGUUCUGCUGGUCGAAAAUACACUUUCCAUAUUUAACACUAUUCAGGUUCCAUUUAACUCUGUGGUUGUAGCAUUGUGUUGAUCUAUAUUUAAUCCAGACAAAAUGUGUUUUUAUGUGUGAUGUAACCACACAAAAAGAUCAUACCAAUAUUUUUAUUUUAUUAGACCAAUUUCAGAAUUUUUAAAUGUGGGUCUUUGUGUCUUAUUGGACGAGUAACUAAAAGGACAAAUAACUAAAAGGACAACCAUGGUCUCCAAUCAUAUCUAUUCCUUUGUAUGUGUUAAAUACCUCUUCUAAUAAAGUAUUAUGUCAGAAAGAAUGACCAGGUGAAUCCAGGUGAAAGCUAUGAUCCCUUAUUGAUGUCACUGGUUAAAUCCACUUCAAAUCAGUGUAGAUAAAGGGGAAGAGACAGGUUAAAGAAGGAUUUUUAAGCCUUGAGACAGUUAAGACGUGGAUUGUGUUUGUACCAUACAGAAGGUGAAUGGGCAUGACAAAAUAUGUAAGUGCCUUUGAACAGGGUAUGGUAGGCUCACCGGUUUGUGUCAAGAACUGCAACGCUGCUGGGUUUUACACGCUCAACAUUUUCCCGUGUGUAUCAAGAAUAGGCCACCACCCAAAGGAGAUCCAGCCAACUUUACACAACUGUGGGAAGCAUUGGAGUCAACAUGGGCCAAUAUCCCUAUGGAAUGCUUUCAACACCUUGUCCUGACGAAUUUGGUAUUUGGUAUUUUAUUAGGAUCCCCAUUAGCUGUUGCAAAAGUAGCAGCUACUCUUCAAAUCAGUGUAGAUAAAGGGAGCUGUUCUGAGGGCAAAAGGGGAUGCAACUCAAUAUUAGGAAGGUGUUCCUAAUGUUUGUACACUCAGUGUAUACUGUAUAGAGUAUGUACGUGUAUAAACUGUCUCUUUCCUCUGUCAGCAGGGUAAACACUGCAUACUGGACGUGUCAGGGAAUGCCAUAAAACGACUACAAGUAGCACAACUCUACCCCAUUGCCAUCUUUAUAAAGCCUAGGUCCAUUGAUUCAUUAAUGGAGAUGAAUAAGAGAUUAACAGAAGAGCAGGCCAGGAAGACAUUUGACCGGGCCAUGAAGUUGGAGCAGGAGUUUGGCGAGUUUUUCACAGCCCUUGUUCAAGGAGACACCUUAGAAGACAUUUAUAACCACUGCAAAAUGGUGAUAGAGGAGCAUUCAGGACCCUACAUCUGGAUCCCAUCAAAAGAGAAAUUAUGAGAACACACCACUUUGGCAGGGAUAUUGGACUGCUAGAUUCACAACAUACUUUGUAACAUAUGUUCAACUGUAAUGGUAAUUUAUAUUGUUCAUAAUUAUAGCCAAUUAAAAUUAUUUUUUUCUUA